This 240-nucleotide ribosomal RNA is filed under the name uncultured bacterium. Its description in RNAcentral is "partial 16S ribosomal RNA". It matches the Rfam family "Bacterial small subunit ribosomal RNA", at positions 523 to 762 of the family's 1533-position model. The record is from RNAcentral.
AUACGUAGGUGGCAAGCGUUGUCCGGAUUUACUGGGUGUAAAGGGUGCGUAGGCGGGUAGGCAAGUCAGGUGUGAAAGCCCUUGGCUCAACUGUGGGAUUGCAUUUGAAACUGCAGACCUUGAGUGCAGGAGAGGUAAGCGGAAUUCCUAGUGUAGCGGUGAAAUGCGUAGAUAUUAGGAGGAACACCAGUGGCGAAGGCGGCUUUCUGGACGAUAACUGACGCUGAGGCGCGAAAGCGU